UCAGGAUGAACGCUGGCGGCGUGCCUAAUACAUGCAAGUCGAGCGAAUGGAUUAAGAGCUUGCUCUUAUGAAGUUAGCGGCGGACGGGUGAGUAACACGUGGGUAACCUGCCCAUAAGACUGGGAUAACUCCGGGAAACCGGGGCUAAUACCGGAUAAUAUUUUGAACCGCAUGGUUCGAAAUUGAAAGGCGGCUUCGGCUGUCACUUAUGGAUGGACCCGCGUCGCAUUAGCUAGUUGGUGAGGUAACGGCUCGCCAAGGCAACGAUGCGUAGCCGACCUGAGAGGGUGAUCGGCCACACUGGGACUGAGACACGGCCCAGACUCCUACGGGAGGCAGCAGUAGGGAAUCUUCCGCAAUGGACGAAAGUCUGACGGAGCAACGCCGCGUGAGUGAUGAAGGCUUUCGGGUCGUAAAACUCUGUUGUUAGGGAAGAACAAGUGCUAGUUGAAUAAGCUGGCACCUUGACGGUACCUAACCAGAAAGCCACGGCUAACUACGUGCCAGCAGCCGCGGUAAUACGUAGGUGGCAAGCGUUAUCCGGAAUUAUUGGGCGUAAAGCGCGCGCAGGUGGUUUCUUAAGUCUGAUGUGAAAGCCCACGGCUCA
Molecule: ribosomal RNA, 607 nt
Filed under: uncultured bacterium
Lineage: Bacteria
Description: bacterial SSU rRNA
Rfam family: Bacterial small subunit ribosomal RNA
Source: RNAcentral